CAAAGGUGGCUAACUAAGUAUGGUUGGACCCUUCCUUGUGAGAAAUAACACGAGCUAAAUGUGUCCCCUCGAAAAGGGGACUCGAGUCCGAGCAGUGAAACGUCUAUCGCCUUACCUCGGUGGUGCGCGCAGAGGGAAUGUUUUGACAAGUCCGCGAGAUGAGCAGGAAUUAAGGAAGCGUUUACUACGCAACAGCACACACUGAUGCCUUCAGGCGAUUAAGUGCCUUGCUCGAGGACACUUCAACAGCAAGGAUUCAAAAUAUUUGUUUGACGCCGGCAACAACAGGACAGAUGCCUGCAGCACUACAGACUAUCUGAACCCUCGUGUCAGCAGGCAGAACGCAGCAGUGGCACCGCG
Long non-coding RNA from Gasterosteus aculeatus aculeatus (three-spined stickleback), 360 nucleotides. The record is from Ensembl. Lineage: Eukaryota; Metazoa; Chordata; Actinopteri; Perciformes; Gasterosteidae.